Molecule: ribosomal RNA, 468 nt
Filed under: uncultured bacterium
Lineage: Bacteria
Description: partial 16S ribosomal RNA
Rfam family: Bacterial small subunit ribosomal RNA
Source: RNAcentral
GACGAACGCUGGCGGCGUGCUUAACACAUGCAAGUCGAACGGAAAGGCCCUGCUUUUGUGGGGUGCUCGAGUGGCGAACGGGUGAGUAACACGUGAGUAACCUGCCCUUGACUUUGGGAUAACUUCAGGAAACUGGGGCUAAUACCGGAUAGGAGCUCCCGCUGCAUGGUGGGGGUUGGAAAGUUUCGGCGGUUGGGGAUGGACUCGCGGCUUAUCAGCUUGUUGGUGGGGUAGUGGCUUACCAAGGCAGUGACGGGUAGCCGGCCCGAGAGGGUAAACGGCCACAAUGGGACUACGAGACGGCCCAGUCUCCUACGGGAGGCAGCAGUGGCGAGUAUUACACAGUGAGCGCGAGCCUGUUGCAGCGGCGUCGCGUUCGGGAUGACGGCCUUCGGGUUGUAAACCGCUUUCGCCUGUGACGAAGCUGGUGUGACGGUAAUGGGUGAAGAAGCACCGGCUAACUACGUG